CCUACGGGCGGCUGCAGUGGGGAAUAUUGCACAAUGGGGGCAACCCUGAUGCAGCGACGCCGCGUGAGUGAAGAAGUAUUUCGGUAUGUAAAGCUCUAUCAGCAGGGACGAAAAUGACGGUACCUGCUUAAGAAGCCCCCGCUAACUACGUGCCAGCAGCCGCGGUAAUACGUAGGGGGCAAGCGUUAUCCGGAUUUACUGGGUGUAAAGGGAGCGUAGACGGCAGCACAAGUCUGAAGUGAAAUGCCGGGGCUUAACCCCGGAACUGCUUUGGAAACUGUGCAGCUAGAGUGCAGGAGAGGUAAGUGGAAUGCCGAGUGUAGCGGUGAAAUGCGUAGAUAUAAGGAGGAACACCAGUGGUGAAGGCGGCUUGCUGGACUGUAACUGACGUUGAGGCUCGAAAGCGUGGGGAGCAAACAGGAUUAGAUACCCGUGUAGUC
Molecule: ribosomal RNA, 440 nt
Filed under: uncultured bacterium
Lineage: Bacteria
Description: partial 16S ribosomal RNA
Rfam family: Bacterial small subunit ribosomal RNA
Source: RNAcentral